Molecule: unclassified non-coding RNA, 393 nt
Filed under: Helianthus argophyllus
Lineage: Eukaryota; Viridiplantae; Streptophyta; Magnoliopsida; Asterales; Asteraceae
Description: partial trnH-psbA intergenic spacer
Source: RNAcentral
CUCUACUAUUAUCUAGUAUUACUAUAUUUUUCCAUUAACAUAAAAAAGCAUAUUCUUUCUCAUUUUUAUUGAAUAAAUAAAAGUAAUAAAUAAGCAAAAUUUUCAUUUUUAUCUAGAAUUUAAAUUGUAAAAAAAAAAAAAAAAAACUUCAUAAAAGAUUAGGAAAAGUAAAAGUAUAUGAUAUAGAAACCUAUAAUAUAAAUGAAUACAAAUAAAAACAAACAAAUCGAACCAAAUUAUAAAAAGUACUUGUUAUUUUUAAAGUUUAAAGAAACUAUGUAAGGCAAAUAGUACUAAAUAAAAAAAGGAGCAAUAACGCCCUCUUGUUUUAUCAAGAGGGAAGCUAUUGCUCCUUUUUUAGUUCAAAAACUCCUAUACAAUCAGACCAAAGUC